GGGGAAGUGUUGCGGGUCUAUACAUGCAAGUCGAGCGGACCGACGGGAGCUUGCUCCCUUAGGUCAGCGGCGGACGGGUGAGUAACACGUGGGUAACCUGCCUGUAAGACUGGGAUAACUCCGGGAAACCGGGGCUAAUACCGGAUGCUUGAUUGAACCGCAUGGUUCAAUCAUAAAAGGUGGCUUUUAUCUACCACUUACAGAUGGACCCGCGGCGCAUUAGCUAGUUGGUGAGGUAACGGCUCACCAAGGCGACGAUGCGUAGCCGACCUGAGAGGGUGAUCGGCCACACUGGGACUGAGACACGGCCCAUACUCCUACGGGAGGCAGCAGUAGGGAAUCUUCCGCAAUGGACGAAAGUCUGACGGAGCAACGCCGCGUGAGUGAUGAAGGUUUUCGGAUCGUAAAACUCUGUUGUUAGGGAAGAACAAGUACCGUUCGAAUAGGGCGGUACCUUGACGGUACCUAACCAGAAAGCCACGGCUAACUACGUGCCAGCAGCCGCGGUAAUACGUAGGUGGCAAGCGUUGUCCGGAAUUAUUGGGCGUAAAGCGCGCGCAGGCGGUUUCUUAAGUCUGAUGUGAAAGCCCCCGGCUCAACCGGGGAGGGUCAUUGGAAACUGGGGAACUUGAGUGCAGAAGAGGAGAGUUGAAUUCCACGUGUAGCGGUGAAAUGCGUAGAGAUGUGGAGGAACACCAGUGGCGAAGGCGACUCUCUGGUCUGUAACUGACGCUGAGGCGCGAAAGCGUGGGGAGCGAACAGGAUUAGAUACCCUGGUAGUCCACGCCGUAAACGAUGAGUGCUAAGUGUUAGAGGGUUUCCGCCCUUUAGUGCUGCAGCAAACGCAUUAAGCACUCCGCCUGGGGAGUACGGUCGCAAGACUGAAACUCAAAGGAAUUGACGGGGGCCCGCACAAGCGGUGGAGCAUGUGGUUUAAUUCGAAGCAACGCGAAGAACCUUACCAGGUCUUGACAUCCUCUGACAACCCUAGAGAUAGGGCUUCCCCUUCGGGGGCAGAGUGACAGGUGGUGCAUGGUUGUCGUCAGCUCGUGUCGUGAGAUGUUGGGUUAAGUCCCGCAACGAGCGCAACCCUUGAUCUUAGUUGCCAGCAUUCAGUUGGGCACUCUAAGGUGACUGCCGGUGACAAACCGGAGGAAGGUGGGGAUGACGUCAAAUCAUCAUGCCCCUUAUGACCUGGGCUACACACGUGCUACAAUGGGCAGAACAAAGGGCAGCGAAGCCGCGAGGCUAAGCCAAUCCCACAAAUCUGUUCUCAGUUCGGAUCGCAGUCUGCAACUCGACUGCGUGAAGCUGGAAUCGCUAGUAAUCGCGGAUCAGCAUGCCGCGGUGAAUACGUUCCCGGGCCUUGUACACACCGCCCGUCACACCACGAGAGUUUGUAACACCCGAAGUCGGUGAGGUAACCUUUGGAGCCAGCCGA
Molecule: ribosomal RNA, 1441 nt
Filed under: Bacillus licheniformis
Lineage: Bacteria; Bacillati; Bacillota; Bacilli; Caryophanales; Bacillaceae
Description: bacterial SSU rRNA
Rfam family: Bacterial small subunit ribosomal RNA
Source: RNAcentral